CUGAGGAGUCCAACAAUAGGACGAAACGGCCGUC
RNAcentral lists this non-coding RNA (34 nucleotides) under Schistosoma mansoni. The record is from RNAcentral. Lineage: Eukaryota; Metazoa; Platyhelminthes; Trematoda; Strigeidida; Schistosomatidae.